UACGAAGGGGGCUAGCGUUGUUCGGAUUUACUGGGCGUAAAGCGCGCGUAGGCGGUUUGUUAAGUCGGGGGUGAAAUCCUGGAGCUCAACUCCAGAAUUGCCUUCGAUACUGGCUUUCUAGAGGCUGGAAGAGGUUAGUGGAAUUCCCAGUGUAGAGGUGAAAUUCGUAGAUAUUGGGAAGAACACCAGUGGCGAAGGCGGCUAACUGGUCCAGAUCUGACGCUGAGGUGCGAAAGCGUGGGGAGCAAACAGG
This 253-nucleotide ribosomal RNA is filed under the name uncultured bacterium. RNAcentral's name for it is "partial 16S ribosomal RNA". It matches the Rfam family "Bacterial small subunit ribosomal RNA", at positions 524 to 776 of the family's 1533-position model. The record is from RNAcentral.